This 26-nucleotide non-coding RNA is filed under the name Homo sapiens (human). Lineage: Eukaryota; Metazoa; Chordata; Mammalia; Primates; Hominidae. The record is from RNAcentral.
GACUCAGCGAUUCUGGCAAGCGGUAC